RNAcentral lists this long non-coding RNA (281 nucleotides) under Lathyrus oleraceus (garden pea). Its description in RNAcentral is "Pisum sativum (pea) long non-coding RNA (PSAT_LNC018408)". Lineage: Eukaryota; Viridiplantae; Streptophyta; Magnoliopsida; Fabales; Fabaceae. The record is from RNAcentral.
AAAAAGUAAAAAUAAAACAUCAUAGAUGUGGAUGAAUAGAAUUAUAUUUUAUUAAUGACAAUUGAGAAAUGCCUAACAAUGUUCACUUCUCCCUUAGGCAUAGGAGAAGGAUUUUUCUUAAAAUAUGAAAAAAAAAUACUUAGAGUGAUGGAGAAUAACAGGAAUAUCAACAACAACCCAAUUGUUGCAAGUCUUGCCAUGCGUCACAAAGUUGGCACAGUCUUCGUCUUCAUCAUCCUCGAUCACAACAAUUGAGUGUUGCUCAUUACCAUGGAUGAACC